UUUGAUCACCGAAGUUAAGCAUCGUAGAGCCAGGUCAGUACUUAGAUGGGGGACCGCUUGGGAACACCUGGUACUGUAAGC
RNAcentral lists this ribosomal RNA (81 nucleotides) under Acanthosepion pharaonis. The record is from RNAcentral. Lineage: Eukaryota; Metazoa; Mollusca; Cephalopoda; Sepiida; Sepiidae.